AUGUCCCGGCUUAAUUACGGGAUCAUGUCCCUGAUCCCCAAGGUGCUGGGUGCGGCGGACAUUAGGCAGUUCUGCCCUAUCACAGUCCUCAAUGUGAUAUUUUGGAUUCUGGCGAAAGGGUACGCCACUAGGGCAGCCCUUAUCGCCCCUCGGAUUCAUCACCCGAACCGGUCGGCCUUCACGAAAGGCAGAUUUAUUCUGGACGGGAUACUCAUCCUUCACGAGGUGAUCCAUGAGGUCAAGAGCAAACACCUCCACGUUGUGUUCUUCAAGAUUGACUUCCAUAACGUUUAUGACACCGUCCACUAGUCCUUCCUCCGGGAGGUGUUGCUCAAACGUGGAUUCGACCCCCACUGGGUUGCCUGA
RNAcentral lists this ribosomal RNA (366 nucleotides) under Triticum aestivum (bread wheat). RNAcentral describes it as "partial small subunit ribosomal RNA". The record is from RNAcentral. Lineage: Eukaryota; Viridiplantae; Streptophyta; Magnoliopsida; Poales; Poaceae.